UACGUAGGUGGCGAGCGUUGUCCGGAUUUACUGGGCGUAAAGGGAGCGUAGGCGGAUUUUAAAGUGAGAUGUGAAAUACUCGGGCUCAACUUGAGUGCUGCAUUUCAAACUGGAAGUCUAGAGUGCAGGAGAGGAGAAUGGAAUUCCUAGUGUAGCGGUGAAAUGCGUAGAGAUUAGGAAGAACACCAGUGGCGAAGGCGAUUCUCUGGACUGUAACUGACGCUGAGGCUCGAAAGCGUGGGGAGCAAACAGG
Molecule: ribosomal RNA, 253 nt
Filed under: uncultured bacterium
Lineage: Bacteria
Description: partial 16S ribosomal RNA
Rfam family: Bacterial small subunit ribosomal RNA
Source: RNAcentral